This 909-nucleotide ribosomal RNA is filed under the name uncultured bacterium. RNAcentral describes it as "bacterial SSU rRNA". It matches the Rfam family "Bacterial small subunit ribosomal RNA", at positions 33 to 925 of the family's 1533-position model. The record is from RNAcentral.
ACGCUGGCGGCGUGCCUAAUACAUGAAGUAGAACGCUGAAGAGAGGAGCUUGCUCUUCUUGAAUGAGUUGCGAACGGGUGAGUAACGCGUAGGUAACCUGCCUUGUAGCGGGGGAUAACUAUUGGAAACGAUAGCUAAUACCGCAUAACAAUGGGUGACACAUGUCAUUUAUUUGAAAGGGGCAAUUGCUCCACUACAAGAUGGACCUGCGUUGUAUUAGCUAGUAGGUGAGGUAACGGCUCACCUAGGCGACGAUACAUAGCCGACCUGAGAGGGUGAUCGGCCACACUGGGACUGAGACACGGCCCAGACUCCUACGGGAGGCAGCAGUAGGGAAUCUUCGGCAAUGGGGGCAACCCUGACCGAGCAACGCCGCGUGAGUGAAGAAGGUUUUCGGAUCGUAAAGCUCUGUUGUAAGUCAAGAACGAGUGUGAGAGUGGAAAGUUCACACUGUGACGGUAGCUUACCAGAAAGGGACGGCUAACUACGUGCCAGCAGCCGCGGUAAUACGUAGGUCCCGAGCGUUGUCCGGAUUUAUUGGGCGUAAAGCGAGCGCAGGCGGUUUGAUAAGUCUGAAGUUAAAGGCUGUGGCUCAACCAUAGUUCGCUUUGGAAACUGUCAAACUUGAGUGCAGAAGGGGAGAGUGGAAUUCCAUGUGUAGCGGUGAAAUGCGUAGAUAUAUGGAGGAACACCGGUGGCGAAAGCGGCUCUCUGGUCUGUAACUGACGCUGAGGCUCGAAAGCGUGGGGAGCGAACAGGAUUAGAUACCCUGGUAGUCCACGCCGUAAACGAUGAGUGCUAGGUGUUGGAUCCUUUCCGGGAUUCAGUGCCGCAGCUAACGCAUUAAGCACUCCGCCUGGGGAGUACGACCGCAAGGUUGAAACUCAAAGGAAUUGACGGGGGCCCGCA